Molecule: small RNA, 76 nt
Filed under: Kaistella antarctica
Lineage: Bacteria; Pseudomonadati; Bacteroidota; Flavobacteriia; Flavobacteriales; Weeksellaceae
Description: Chryseobacterium antarcticum Flavo-1 RNA
Rfam family: Flavo-1 RNA
Source: RNAcentral
UUCUAGCCCCGAUAGAAGUGGCAUCCCACGAGUUCGCGAAAGCGGUGAGUGGAUAUAACGGAUAGCGGGACCGGAU